This 1346-nucleotide ribosomal RNA is filed under the name uncultured bacterium. RNAcentral describes it as "bacterial SSU rRNA". It matches the Rfam family "Bacterial small subunit ribosomal RNA", at positions 28 to 1381 of the family's 1533-position model. The record is from RNAcentral.
GACGAACGCUGGCGGCGUGCUUAACACAUGCAAGUCGAACGGAAAGGCCCUGCUUUUGUGGGGUGCUCGAGUGGCGAACGGGUGAGUAACACGUGAGUAACCUGCCCUUGACUUUGGGAUAACUUCAGGAAACUGGGGCUAAUACCGGAUAGGAGCUCCUGCUGCAUGGUGGGGGUUGGAAAGUUUCGGCGGUUGGGGAUGGACUCGCGGCUUAUCAGCUUGUUGGUGGGGUAGUGGCUUACCAAGGAUUUGACGGGUAGCCGGCCUGAGAGGGUGACCGGCCACAUUGGGACUGAGAUACGGCCCAGACUCCUACGGGAGGCAGCAGUGGGGAAUAUUGCACAAUGGGCGGAAGCCUGAUGCAGCAACGCCGCGUGCGGGAUGACGGCCUUCGGGUUGUAAACCGCUUUCGCCUGUGACGAAGCGUGAGUGACGGUAAUGGGUAAAGAAGCACCGGCUAACUACGUGCCAGCAGCCGCGGUGAUACGUAGGGUGCGAGCGUUGUCCGGAUUUAUUGGGCGUAAAGGGCUCGUAGGUGGUUGAUCGCGUCGGAAGUGUAAUCUUGGGGCUUAACCCUGAGCGUGCUUUCGAUACGGGUUGACUUGAGGAAGGUAGGGGAGAAUGGAAUUCCUGGUGGAGCGGUGGAAUGCGCAGAUAUCAGGAGGAACACCAGUGGCGAAGGCGGUUCUCUGGGCCUUUCCUGACGCUGAGGAGCGAAAGCGUGGGGAGCGAACAGGCUUAGAUACCCUGGUAGUCCACGCUGUAAACGGUGGGUACUAGGUGUGGGGUCCAUUCCACGGGUUCCGUGCCGUAGCUAACGCUUUAAGUACCCCGCCUGGGGAGUACGGCCGCAAGGCUAAAACUCAAAGGAAUUGACGGGGCCCCGCACAAGCGGCGGAGCAUGCGGAUUAAUUCGAUGCAACGCGUAGAACCUUACCUGGGUUUGACAUGGAUCGGGAGCGCUCAGAGAUGGGUGUGCCUCUUUUGGGGUCGGUUCACAGGUGGUGCAUGGCUGUCGUCAGCUCGUGUCGUGAGAUGUUGGGUUAAGUCCCGCAACGAGCGCAACCCUUGUUCACUGUUGCCAGCACGUUAUGGUGGGGACUCAGUGGAGACCGCCGGGGUCAACUCGGAGGAAGGUGGGGAUGACGUCAAGUCAUCAUGCCCCUUAUGUCCAGGGCUUCACGCAUGCUACAAUGGCUGGUACAGAGAGUGGCGAGCCUGUGAGGGUGAGCGAAUCUCGGAAAGCCGGUCUCAGUUCGGAUUGGGGUCUGCAACUCGACCUCAUGAAGUCGGAGUCGCUAGUAAUCGCAGAUCAGCAACGCUGCGGUGAAUACGUUCCCGGGGCU